UCAGGAUGAACGCUAGCGGCAGGCUAACACAUGCAAGUCGAGGGGCAGCGGGAUGUAGCAAUACAUUGCCGGCGACCGGCGGAUGGGUGCGUAACGCGUAUGCAACCUACCUUAUACAGGGGAAUAACCUUUCGAAAGGGAGACUAACACCCCAUAGUAUUGAUUUAAGGCAUCUUAGAUUAAUUAAAUAUUUAUAGGUAUAAGAUGGGCAUGCGUAUGAUUAGCUAGUUGGUAAGGUAACGGCUUACCAAGGCGACGAUCAUUAGGGGUUCUGAGAGGAAGGUCCCCCACACUGGUACUGAGACACGGACCAGACUCCUACGGGAGGCAGCAGUGAGGAAUAUUGGUCAAUGGGCGCAAGCCUGAACCAGCCAUGCCGCGUGCAAGGAAGACGGCCUUAUGGGUUGUAAACUGCUUUUACAUAAGACUAACCGUAUAUUUGCGAAUAUACCUGAAUGUAUUAUGAGAAUAAGGAUCGGCUAACUCCGUGCCAGCCGCCGC
This 501-nucleotide ribosomal RNA is filed under the name uncultured bacterium. RNAcentral describes it as "bacterial SSU rRNA". It matches the Rfam family "Bacterial small subunit ribosomal RNA", at positions 24 to 518 of the family's 1533-position model. The record is from RNAcentral.